Drosophila subpulchrella is the source of this 1485-nucleotide long non-coding RNA. RefSeq lists it as uncharacterized. The record is from RefSeq and is a predicted model, not a curated record. The transcript is spliced from 4 exons. Lineage: Eukaryota; Metazoa; Arthropoda; Insecta; Diptera; Drosophilidae.
CUACUGCCAUUGCCGUGUUUAAAGAAAUCCGCGUGCCCGUAGAUAAAGCAGCGUUCGAUUGUAUUCCGAGUUCGUAUUUGUGACUCACUGUAUAGUCUCUUAGCUUCAGUUCUAGGAUUUAGAAGUGGUGUCAUCAUAUAUUCAGUGGUUCCGGUUGGUUUUUAAAAUCGCCGUUGCCGAGACGAUACUUAAGGCGACUGUUGUUAAAAAAGGUGCUGUCGUGUGAAGUUCCAGGCCACAAAAUUUUGUUAGCAGAAGCUUGGCAUUGCAUAUAGUCUAAACAUUCAAUGAAAAGUAUCCUUUUCCGUUUCGAAAAAAUUCCCCGUUGUCUCCACCCGGGGACUGUAUACGGACAUGCGUGCAAUCUAUGGCACCAAGAACUUUGGGAGACUUCUCUAUGUUAUAAAAGUCCAAAAGUCCAAAUUCCUGGCUCAGCAUUGCAAUCGCUUCUGAUACUUCUUUGACCGCUCGGGAUGCUGAGGCAACGCUGACACCACAGAAGUCUCCUGCCGUAAUUAGGAAGCUGUCAUUUGCAUAGAAUCGUAAAGCCAACAAGAAUUUGGUAUCUGAUUUUAACGCAUAUGAUGUAGGUUAUAUUUUAAAUACAUUAUUUGGCUAUUUUUACAUGAUGUAAGGAUAUUACCGGCAAACAACGAGGACAAAUAAGGCUCUCGGGUCUAACUCCGGAUAAAUUCACAAGCAGGAAACCACUAUUGGGCCGGGUACUUCUCAACGGGCGGUACUUCUCAACGCCGCGAUGCGACGGCUGGAAGUCACCGAGAUGAGGUGGCCGUGGUAGACCGGAACGGACUCACCGGGAAAUACUUGAUGUCGUCGGCGUAAGGGGUUGGUUGCUGGGCGUCUGCGCGGGUCGAAUGUACACCGGUUGCUGGGCACCCAAGUCGGGCUGCACAAAAAAAUGUAUACUAGCACUUCAGCUGCAUCUGCCUGGUUGGACAAUAUGGCUGCGACUAUCUUGAUAUCAGCUGAUCAUCUUACCUACCCCCGCCAUAUUACAUGGCCUCUCUCAAAAUUGGGUCAUUGGAUACAUAGGUCCAUUUAAGGUAAUCCCAGAGCGAACCGGGAUUAAUCUUCAAAUAGCCAGAUCGCCCGCCAGAUUCAUCCCGCUGCUGCAACUUUCGCCAUAUCGACCUAACCUAUCGAUAAAGUCCCUCCCAUUAUCGACUCCAAUUGCAACAAUUGUUAUUCAUUAUGGCUUAUAUUUUCAGCAAACGUAAAAACAGCUGUGCUUUUUUGUCCUCUUUGUUGGCUGUCAAUUUAUCGAGUCCGAAAAGACUUAACAGGGAGUCUGAGUCCCUGUCAAAGUUAGCUCUCACAUUGAGGCUCGAGAAAGCCAAAAUAGCUUAAGCCUAGUACUCAGAUCGGCUAAGAGUUUCACUAGUCGAAAAAACUUGUUCUUUGCAGUGUGACCGAAGUUUUCAGAGUUCACCCGCAAUGCAUGUAGCAUGGUCUUACUGUCAAGCG